UACGGCGGUUAUAGCGAGAGGGAAACGCCCGGUUACAUUCCGAACCCGGAAGCUAAGCCUUUCAGCGCCGAUGGUACUGCACUCGGGAGGGUGUGGGAGAGUAGGACGCCGCCGGAC
RNAcentral lists this ribosomal RNA (117 nucleotides) under Catenuloplanes indicus. Lineage: Bacteria; Bacillati; Actinomycetota; Actinomycetes; Micromonosporales; Micromonosporaceae. The record is from RNAcentral. RNAcentral also lists the same sequence under 2 other names.